RNAcentral lists this ribosomal RNA (420 nucleotides) under uncultured bacterium. RNAcentral describes it as "bacterial SSU rRNA". It matches the Rfam family "Bacterial small subunit ribosomal RNA", at positions 355 to 774 of the family's 1533-position model. The record is from RNAcentral.
UAAGGAAUAUUGCUCAAUGGGAGAAAUCCUGAAGCAGCAACGCCGCGUGGAGGAUGAAGGGUCUAUGACUUGUAAACUCCUGUAAAGAAGGAAAAAAUUCCCAUUUGAUGGGAGAUGAUGGUACUUCUGGAGUAAGCCCCGGCUAACUACGUGCCAGCAGCCGCGGUAAUACGUAGGGGGCAAGCGUUGUCCGGAUUUACUGGGUGUAACGGGUGCUCAGGCGGAUUUGUAAGUCAGAGGUGAAAUCUUACAGCUUAACUGUGAAACUGCCUUUGAUACUGCAAGCCUAGAGUAUGGAAGAGAGUGAUGGAAUAUCUGGUGUAGCAGUGAAAUGCGUAGAUAUCAGAUAGAACACCAAUGGCGAAGGCAGUCACUUGGUCCAUUACUGACGCUAAAGCACGAAAGCGUGGGUAGCAAACA